This 270-nucleotide ribosomal RNA is filed under the name uncultured archaeon. RNAcentral's name for it is "partial 16S ribosomal RNA". It matches the Rfam family "Archaeal small subunit ribosomal RNA", at positions 477 to 747 of the family's 1478-position model. The record is from RNAcentral.
CAGCACCUCAAGUGGUCAGGAUGAUUAUUGGGCCUAAAGCAUCCGUAGCCGGCGCUGUAAGUUUUCGGUUAAAUCUGUACGCUCAACGUACAGGCUGCCGGGAAUACUGCAGCGCUAGGGAGUGGGAGAGGUAGACGGUACUCGGUAGGAAGGGGUAAAAUCCUUUGAUCUAUUGAUGACCACCUGUGGCGAAGGCGGUCUACCAGAACACGUCCGACGGUGAGGGAUGAAAGCUGGGGGAGCAAGCCGGAUUAGAUACCCGUGUAGUCC